Molecule: ribosomal RNA, 497 nt
Filed under: uncultured bacterium
Lineage: Bacteria
Description: partial 16S ribosomal RNA
Rfam family: Bacterial small subunit ribosomal RNA
Source: RNAcentral
GAUGAACGCUGGCGGCGUGCCUAAUACAUGCAAGUCGAGCGAACAGACGAGGAGCUUGCUCCUCUGACGUUAGCGGCGGACGGGUGAGUAACACGUGGAUAACCUACCUAUAAGACUGGGAUAACUUCGGGAAACCGGAGCUAAUACCGGAUAAUAUAUUGAACCGCAUGGUUCAAUAGUGAAAGACGGUUUUGCUGUCACUUAUAGAUGGAUCCGCGCCGCAUUAGCUAGUUGGUAAGGUAACGGCUUACCAAGGCAACGAUGCGUAGCCGACCUGAGAGGGUGAUGGGCCACACUGGAACUGAGACACGGUCCCGACUCCUACGGGAGGCAGCAGUAGGGAAUCUUCCGCAAUGGGCGAAAGCCUGACGGAGCAACGCCGCGUGAGUGAUGAAGGUCUUCGGAUCGUAAAACUCUGUUAUUAGGGAAGAACAAAUGUGUAAGUAACUAUGCACGUCUUGACGGUACCUAAUCAGAAAGCCACGGCUAACUACGUG